UUUCCGUAGGUGAACCUGCGGAAGGAUCAUUAAAGAGUAAGAGGCUCUGGGCGCGAGCUCCAACCCUUUGUUUAACUACCCUGUUGCUUUGGCGGGCGCGUCUCACCCCCGCCGGAAGUCUGGCUUCGACCACACUUCUGGCCCGUGCCCGUCAGUGACCCCUAUAAAUACUUGAUCAAAUAUGUUGUCUUAGUUAAAAACUUAAUAGUUAAAACUUUCAACAACGGAUCUCUUGGUUCUG
This 241-nucleotide unclassified non-coding RNA is filed under the name plant metagenome. Its description in RNAcentral is "partial contains small subunit ribosomal RNA, internal transcribed spacer 1, and 5.8S ribosomal RNA". The record is from RNAcentral.